AUUGAACGCUGGCGGCAGGCUUAACACAUGCAAGUCGAGCGGAGCGGCGGACGGGUGAGUAAUGCUUAGGAAUCUGCCUAUUAGUGGGGGACAACAUAUCGAAAGGGAUGCUAAUACCGCAUACUAAUAGAUGAGCAUAAUUCGGGUUAGCUAGUUGGUGGGGUAAAGGCCUACCAAGGCGACGAUCUGUAGCGGUUCUGAGAGGAUGAUCCGCCACACUGGGACUGGGGCACGGCCCAGACUCCUACGGGAGGCAGCAGUGGGGAAUAUUGGAACAUGGGGGGAACCCUGGUCCAACCAUGCCGCGGGUGAGGAGAAGGCCUUAUGGUUUUAAAGCACUUUAAGCGAGGAGGCGUUACUCGCAGAAUAAGCACCGGCUAACUCUGUGCCAGCAGCCGCGGUAAUUC
RNAcentral lists this ribosomal RNA (407 nucleotides) under uncultured bacterium. RNAcentral's name for it is "partial 16S ribosomal RNA". It matches the Rfam family "Bacterial small subunit ribosomal RNA", at positions 30 to 526 of the family's 1533-position model. The record is from RNAcentral.